This 420-nucleotide long non-coding RNA is filed under the name Pongo abelii (Sumatran orangutan). RNAcentral describes it as "lincRNA". Lineage: Eukaryota; Metazoa; Chordata; Mammalia; Primates; Hominidae. The record is from RNAcentral.
GGCUCACGCCUGACUAGAGCACUCUGCUUCACAGAGGAGAGUUCUGUGCGUUCUUCCUCCCUGGCUGCCUAGAUCACACGGCCCCGUUCUUUUCAUGUUUACUUAAUAACGGUCGUUAGAAAAUUUAAAGAAACAGCAGAAACCACGAGAAAAAUAAUGGAACCAGACGGCGGUAAGGACUAACAAGGCUGGCGGGGAGACUUAGCAAAUGGUGGCUUCUGAGAGUUUGCACCAGUCCUUCACCACAUUUUAUUGGAAGUGUGGAGAGUCAUGAUUCUCAUUCCUCCCCAGCCUUCCGGAAAAAUGCUCAGAAAUUUCUUUCCACAUUGACACCUGAUUACAGUCUAAAUAGUAACCUUAUUCUAAUUGUUAAUGUAACCUUCUCAUAAUUUCUACAAAAAUACUUUAGUUUUUCUAGCU